This 432-nucleotide ribosomal RNA is filed under the name uncultured bacterium. RNAcentral's name for it is "partial 16S ribosomal RNA". It matches the Rfam family "Bacterial small subunit ribosomal RNA", at positions 29 to 507 of the family's 1533-position model. The record is from RNAcentral.
AACGAACGCUGGCGGCAUGCCUAACACAUGCAAGUCGAACGAGACCUUCGGGUCUAGUGGCGCACGGGUGCGUAACGCGUGGGAACCUGCCCUUAGGUUCGGAAUAACUCCCCGAAAGGGGUGCUAAUACCGGAUAAUGUCUUCGGACCAAAGAUUUAUCGCCUUUGGAUGGGCCCGCGUUGGAUUAGCUAGUUGGUAGGGUAAAAGCCUACCAAGGCGACGAUCCAUAGCUGGUCUGAGAGGAUGAUCAGCCACACUGGGACUGAGACACGGCCCAGACUCCUGCGGGAGGCGGCAGUGGGGAAUAUUGGAGAAUGGGCGGAGGCCUAAUCCAGCAAUGCGGGGUGAGUGGUUAGGGCUUUAGGUUUUUAAAGCUCUUUUACCCGGGAUAAUAAUACCGGAACCGGGAAAAAAGGCCCCGCUAACCUCGGU